GUCUACGGCCAUACCACCCCGAACGCGCCCGAUCUCGUCUGAUCUCGGAAGCUAAGCAGGGUCGGGCCUGGUUAGUACUUGGAUGGGAGAAUGGUGGACUGAUCUCU
Molecule: ribosomal RNA, 107 nt
Filed under: Rattus norvegicus (Norway rat)
Lineage: Eukaryota; Metazoa; Chordata; Mammalia; Rodentia; Muridae
Source: RNAcentral